Non-coding RNA from Bacillus gaemokensis, 116 nucleotides. The record is from Rfam. Lineage: Bacteria; Bacillati; Bacillota; Bacilli; Caryophanales; Bacillaceae.
UGAUCCUUUAACACAGCCCCGUGAGGUUGAGAAGGUAACGGUUUGAAAUACUUAGGGUAUACUUAUACCCUUUUUUUCAAAAGUCCUCUCGCACACGCUGAGAGGACUUUUUUUAU